RNAcentral lists this long non-coding RNA (1110 nucleotides) under Cyanistes caeruleus (blue tit). RNAcentral's name for it is "lncRNA (ENSCCEG00000001018.1)". The record is from RNAcentral. Lineage: Eukaryota; Metazoa; Chordata; Aves; Passeriformes; Paridae.
CGCCCACGCUGACGGCGUCAUCGGUGACGUCACCUCCCGCCGUGACGUCAUCGACCCCGGGGAGCGGGGGCGUGGCGUCGCCCCAGGCGAUGACGUCACCGGGGAAGCCACGCUCGAUGACAUCAUCAGUGAUGCCGCUCUCCGGGGCAAUGACGUCAUCAGUGAGGGUGUGCAAGGUGAUUACAUCAUCAGUGAUGACGUCAUCGGUGAUGACAUCAUCGGCGACAUCGUCCAGAUCUUGCGGGAAGUCGCUCUCUGCUGUGAUGUCAUCGGUGACGUCACGGGCGAUGAUGUCAUCGAUGAAGCCACGCCCAGGGAGGAUGAUGUCAGCGGUGACGUCACUCAUGGGGACGGUGACGUCAUCGGCGUCGCCACUCCCAGGGCGGGAGGCGAUGACGUCACUGUCAGCGAUGACGUCACCAUCGAGAGCUUCCCGCGGGACAGAGGGAGUGACGUCAUCGCCGUCGGUGACACCGGCGGUGACAUCAUCCCCCGGCACAGCGGAAGUGACGUCACCCUCGGCUGUGACGUCACCGGCGGGCGGAGGGGAGGGGCUGCCCCGCCCCUCGGUGACGUCAUCGCCCUCCCCACCCAAGGGGGCCUCAGCAGCGAUGACGUCAUAGGCUGUGACGUCAUCAUCGGAGACUUCCUCUUCCUCUGGGGGCGGGGCCAGCACGGUGAUGGUGAUGCCACCGGCCCGGCAGGUGACGGCGCUGUCCCCAAACUCCCUGUCCCCAAAAUCCCCGUCCCCAAAUUCCCCAGUGUCCCCCGUGUCCCUUGGGGGGGUGACAUCGCUGUCCCCAGUGUCCCUGUCCCCAGUGUCCCCAGUGUCCCCACUGUCCCUUGGGGGGGUGACAUUGCUGUCCCCAGUGUCCCCCAGAGCCAGGACAGGGCUGUCCCCAAGGUCCCCCAUGUCCCCCAGGGCGGUGACAUCUCUGAGCCUGCUGUCCCCAGCCCUGGGGACAACGAUGUCCCCAAUGUCCCCCGGCGCUGGGACAGCCCUGACCCCUCUGUCCCUGUCCCCAGUGUCCCUCGGGGAGGUGACACCGCUGUCCCCAGUGUCCCUGUCCCCAGUGUCCCUCAGGGAGGUGACACCGCUGUCCCCAGUGU